RNAcentral lists this long non-coding RNA (283 nucleotides) under Helianthus annuus (common sunflower). Its description in RNAcentral is "hypothetical non coding rna". The record is from RNAcentral. Lineage: Eukaryota; Viridiplantae; Streptophyta; Magnoliopsida; Asterales; Asteraceae.
GAUGUUUCUGACCUGUUGAAUCGUUGAUGAUGGGAAUCGCAGGGAAGAGGACGCUCAACUCAAUUGCCGACGUUUGGACUUUCAUGAUGGUUGACUCGUGCUUUCAGACUCAUAUGAAUAUGUAGGUGAUCAAAUAGUUCAAUCACCAUUCAACACCAAUAUCAUCUCUCAACAACUUUUCCAGUUUGCACACUCCACCAACACGCUCCAACCUGCUGAAAGUUUGCACUCUCAUAUGAAAGUUUCCAGUCGAGGAUUUGAACCUGAAAGCGAUCCGACCAAC